This 497-nucleotide ribosomal RNA is filed under the name uncultured bacterium. Its description in RNAcentral is "bacterial SSU rRNA". It matches the Rfam family "Bacterial small subunit ribosomal RNA", at positions 19 to 518 of the family's 1533-position model. The record is from RNAcentral.
CUGGCUCAGAGUUAACGCUGGCGGCGUGCCUAACACAUGCAAGUCGGGCGGGGAGUGGCAGAGUACCGCGCUCCCAGCGGCAGACGGGUGAGUAACGCGUAGGCAACAUGCCCAUAAGAGGGAGACAACCAGCCGAAAGGUUGGCUAAUAUCCCGUAAUACCCUGGGGAGGCAUCUUUUCCGGGUUAAAGCAGCGAUGCGCUUAUGGAGUGGCCUGCGGCCUAUCAGCUGGUUGGUGAGGUAACGGCCCCACCAAGGCAUAGACGGGUAGCCGAUCUAAAAGGAUGACCGGCCACAAGGGGACUGAGACACGGCCCCUACUCCUACGGGAGGCAGCAGUGGGGAAUUUUGGACAAUGGGGGAAACCCUGAUCCAGCCGACGCCGCGUGAAGGAUGAAGGUUUUCGGAUUGUAAACUUCUUUUGCAGGGGGCAAAGGCCGGCAACGGCGUGAUGGUACCCUGUGAAUAAGCCACGGCUAACUACGUGCCAGCCGCCGC